UACGGAGGGUGCAAGCGUUAUCCGGAUUUACUGGGUUUAAAGGGUGCGUAGGUGGGCAGGUAAGUCAGUGGUGAAAUCUCCGAGCUUAACUCGGAAAUUGCCAUUGAUACUAUCUGUCUUGAAUAUCCUGGAGGUAAGCGGAAUAUGUCAUGUAGCGGUGAAAUGCUUAGAUAUGACAUAGAACACCAAUUGCGAAGGCAGCUUACUACGGGAUUAUUGACACUGAGGCACGAAAGCGUGGGGAUCAAACAGG
RNAcentral lists this ribosomal RNA (253 nucleotides) under uncultured bacterium. Its description in RNAcentral is "partial 16S ribosomal RNA". It matches the Rfam family "Bacterial small subunit ribosomal RNA", at positions 524 to 776 of the family's 1533-position model. The record is from RNAcentral.